This 406-nucleotide ribosomal RNA is filed under the name uncultured bacterium. Its description in RNAcentral is "partial 16S ribosomal RNA". It matches the Rfam family "Bacterial small subunit ribosomal RNA", at positions 29 to 526 of the family's 1533-position model. The record is from RNAcentral.
AUUGAACGCUGGCGGCAGGCCUAACACAUGCAAGUCGAGCGAGCGGCGGGCGGGUGAGUAAUGUCUGGGAAACUGCCUGAUGGGGGGGGAUAACUACUGGAAACGGUACCUAAUACCGCAUACCAUCAGAUGUGCCCAGAUGGGAUUAGCUAGUGGGUGGGGGAAUGGCUCACCUAGGCGACGAUCCCUAGCCGGUCUGAAAGGAGGACCGGCCACACGGGAACGGGGCCACGGUCCAGACUCCUACGGGAGGAAGAAGUGGGGAAUUUUGGACAAUGUGCGCAAGCCUGAUGCAGCCAUGCGGCGGGGUGGAAGAAGGCUUUCGGUUUGUAAAGCCCUUUCAGAGAGGAGGCGUUACUCACAGAGAAAACGCCGGCUAACUCCGUGCCAGCCGCCGCGGUAAUAC